Molecule: ribosomal RNA, 232 nt
Filed under: uncultured bacterium
Lineage: Bacteria
Description: partial 16S ribosomal RNA
Rfam family: Bacterial small subunit ribosomal RNA
Source: RNAcentral
UAGGGAAUCUUCGGCAAUGGGGGCAACCCUGACCGAGCAACGCCGCGUGAGUGAAGAAGGUUUUCGGAUCGUAAAGCUCUGUUGUAAGUCAAGAACGGGUGUGAGAGUGGAAAGUUCACACUGUGACGGUAGCUUACCAGAAAGGGACGGCUAACUACGUGCCAGCAGCCGCGGUAAUACGUAGGUCCCCGAGCGUUGUCCGGAUUUAUUGGGCGUAAAGCGAGCGCAGGCG